This 514-nucleotide long non-coding RNA is filed under the name Monodelphis domestica (gray short-tailed opossum). RNAcentral describes it as "lncRNA (ENSMODG00000037573.1)". Lineage: Eukaryota; Metazoa; Chordata; Mammalia; Didelphimorphia; Didelphidae. The record is from RNAcentral.
UUGCUCACUGAUCAGCGCACAUUUGGGUGGGAGCUUUUUCCACCCCCUUAUAGUGUGGAAAUGCCCAAAUCCCAUGUACCUUCAAAGCUGCGCCUUACUGUAGAGACCCUUCGUUCUGAUGAAAAUGGUUUUUUGGGUCUUUUCAGGUAGUCUAUAUCAGUGGGUCUGAGGAGAGGAAGUGUCCAGCGUCUAGACUGCUGCCAUGCUUACCUGCAAUUUAGUCCAGAUGAGAGCUUAUCCUGGAACUUCCCUAAAGUACCUGCGGCUUCCUAAUUCUAGAAGAGCCUACAACUCAACUCCACCCACCUGAGAGCCUACUGAUCCUGUUACUUCUUUUCACAAGGCUUGCCCUUUUUCUCCCAUUAGUAAGGUUAGAUCCUCCACUUUUUGGAGCAUCCUAGACUUGCUUCCUCAUUUUAUUCCUUGCCCUUUUUUGACUUUAUUUAGUCCUCAAAACCAUUCUACUUCCCAACUUUUUUUAAAUUUAAUUUUCUGCAAUUACAUAUAGAUAAAA